CAGCCGCCACGGUAAUACGGAGGGUGCAAGCGUUACUCGGAAUUACUGGGCGUAAAGCGUGCGUAGGUGGUGGUUUAAGUCCGUUGUGAAAGCCCUGGGCUCAACCUGGGAAUUGCAGUGGAUACUGGGUCACUAGAGUGUGGUAGAGGAUAGUGGAAUUUCCGGUGUAGCAGUGAAAUGCGUAGAGAUCGGAAGGAACAUCUGUGGCGAAGGCGACUAUCUGGGCCAACACUGACACUGAGGCACGAAAGCGUGGGGAGCAAACAGGAUUAGAUACCCCAGUAGUCCCUGUCUCUUAUAA
RNAcentral lists this ribosomal RNA (301 nucleotides) under uncultured bacterium. RNAcentral's name for it is "partial 16S ribosomal RNA". It matches the Rfam family "Bacterial small subunit ribosomal RNA", at positions 509 to 809 of the family's 1533-position model. The record is from RNAcentral.